UCAACAAAUAGAGGUGCGCUGCGGAAGAGUACGUCUUGCCAUACAAACGCGGGGGGCGUGGAAAGACGGAAAGGCCAAGGCGCCGAAGUUCUGGCCGUACCCCUCGGACGGCGAGGGCUGGGGUUCCCGUGAACAACGGUCGCCCUGUCAUGAAAGGCACGGCCUUUCGUGGAGCGCUAUUUACGGU
This 187-nucleotide non-coding RNA is filed under the name Bacillus sp. (in: firmicutes). RNAcentral's name for it is "Bacillus sp. Lysine sequence". It matches the Rfam family "Lysine riboswitch aptamer". From Rfam's summary of the family: Riboswitches are metabolite binding domains within certain messenger RNAs that serve as precision sensors for their corresponding targets. Allosteric rearrangement of mRNA structure is mediated by ligand binding, and this results in modulation of gene expression. This family includes riboswitches that sense lysine in a number of genes involved in lysine metabolism, including lysC. The record is from RNAcentral. Lineage: Bacteria; Bacillati; Bacillota; Bacilli; Caryophanales; Bacillaceae. RNAcentral also lists the same sequence under 1 other name.